Molecule: long non-coding RNA, 443 nt
Organism: Lathyrus oleraceus (garden pea)
Lineage: Eukaryota; Viridiplantae; Streptophyta; Magnoliopsida; Fabales; Fabaceae
Exons: 2
Source: RefSeq, a predicted model, not a curated record
GAUGUGGUUAAUGGUUGAUCAUGAAGGACCAUGGCCUAGGAGAGUGACCUUCAUUGCACUUAGGAAGGGUGUUAUCCUAAGGUCUACCCAAGUGGUGGAACCUACAUCAUAAUUUGUAGUUUCUUUUGAUUUCUACAUGUUUUAGGAGAUUGUGAAAUAGCCAAAAACAUAUAGAAGAGUUAGAUGUAAGGAUUAAAUGUAUUUAGAAAGUUAUACGAAGACUAAAUACAAUAAAAAAUGAUGAAAUCAAAAGAAACUCAAUUUUUUCUUAUGCUUCCUUGUUAGUACUUAGCAUUCCUUCUCCAUUUAUUCCAGGAAUGUAAUGGACUACUAUGAGAUUAUCAAGAUGAUACCAUCAAUUUAUUUAUCUUUGCAAUUGAAGUAUUUUUUCCUCUCAAACUAGGUGUUGCAGAUUAUUUAUGGAAAAUGUUUUGUUUCCGUCA